This 372-nucleotide small RNA is filed under the name Oryza sativa Japonica Group (Japanese rice). RNAcentral describes it as "sRNA Os05g0252701". Lineage: Eukaryota; Viridiplantae; Streptophyta; Magnoliopsida; Poales; Poaceae. The record is from RNAcentral.
UUGGAUUGGUGCAAAAAUCUGGAAAGCCAAGGUCAAGGUUCACAAGUGUAUGGGAUCAACACUGAGCAGCAGCUGUUACUGUUACUAUUGUGACAAUAAGCCCUGAAGAUAGAUUAUUGCCUGCAACUAUUGAAAGGAAAUCAAAGAUUUAUUCGUUGCUUUUUUAGCUAAGGAAAGAAUAACUAAAACCUGGAAUUUAGUAAGAUAAUUAGUUUUCUAGUUUAUGAAAUUGUUCUUCUUAAUUUUCCUAGAUUUUAUUAGUAGUAAUAUUUAGUCACUUACUUCAAUUAAUGGUGUUUAUUGUAUUUAUGUAUCCUCCUGUAUUUUUGAAGCUUGCACUUACUAUGGUGAAAUGAUGGAUUUUACAGGCGU